RNAcentral lists this ribosomal RNA (425 nucleotides) under uncultured bacterium. RNAcentral describes it as "partial 16S ribosomal RNA". It matches the Rfam family "Bacterial small subunit ribosomal RNA", at positions 354 to 796 of the family's 1533-position model. The record is from RNAcentral.
GUGGGGAAUCUUGCGCAAUGGGCGAAAGCCUGACGCAGCCAUGCCGCGUGAAUGAUGAAGGUCUUAGGAUUGUAAAAUUCUUUCACCGGGGAAGAUAAUGACGGUACCCGGAGAAGAAGCCCCGGCUAACUUCGUGCCAGCAGCCGCGGUAAUACGAAGGGGGCUAGCGUUGCUCGGAAUUACUGGGCGUAAAGGGCGCGUAGGCGGACAUUUAAGUCAGAGGUGAAAGCCCAGGGCUCAACCUUGGAAUUGCCUUUGAUACUGGCUGUCUUGAGUUUGGGAGAGGUGAGUGGAACUCCGAGUGUAGAGGUGAAAUUCGUAGAUAUUCGGAAGAACACCAGUGGCGAAGGCGACUCACUGGCCCAAUACUGACGCUGAGGCGCGAAAGCGUGGGGAGCAAACAGGAUUAGAUACCCUGGUAGUCC